Molecule: ribosomal RNA, 253 nt
Filed under: uncultured bacterium
Lineage: Bacteria
Description: partial 16S ribosomal RNA
Rfam family: Bacterial small subunit ribosomal RNA
Source: RNAcentral
UACAGAGGGGGCCAGCGUUAUUCGGAAUUAUUGGGCGUAAAGGGCGCGUAGGCGGCUUUGCGUGUCUUUCGUGAAAUCCCUCGGCUCAACUGAGGACGUGCGGAAGAAACUGCAGGGCUGGAGUCCGGGAGAGGAGGGUGGAAUUCCCAGUGUAGCGGUGAAAUGCGUAGAUAUUGGGAGGAACACCAGUGGCGAAGGCGGCUCACUGGACCGGAACUGACGCUGAGGCGCGAAAGCGUGGGGAGCAAACAGG